AUUGAACGCUGGCGGCAUGCCUUACACAUGCAAGUCGAACGGCAGCACGGGUGCUUGCACCUGGUGGCGAGUGGCGAACGGGUGAGUAAUAUAUCGGAACGUACCUUAUUGUGGGGGAUAACGCAGCGAAAGCUGUGCUAAUACCGCAUAAUCCCUAAGGGGGAAAGCGGGGGACCGUAAGGCCUCGCGCAAUUGGAGCGGCCGAUACCUGAUUAGCUAGUUGGGGAGGUAAAGGCUCACCAAGGCAACGAUCAGUAGCUGGGCUGAGAGGACGAUCAGCCACCCUGGGACUGAGACACGGCCCAGACUCCUACGGGAGGCAGCAGUGGGGAAUUUUGGACAAUGGGGGCAACCCUGAUCCAGCAAUGCCGCGUGAGUGAAGAAGGCCUUCGGGUUGUAAAGCUCUUUUGUCAGGGAAGAAACAGCAGCUCUAACACAGUUUGCGAAUGACGGUACCUGAAGAAUAAGCACCGGCUAACUACGUGCCAGCCGCCGCCGUAA
Molecule: ribosomal RNA, 501 nt
Filed under: uncultured bacterium
Lineage: Bacteria
Description: partial 16S ribosomal RNA
Rfam family: Bacterial small subunit ribosomal RNA
Source: RNAcentral